Long non-coding RNA from Lampris incognitus (smalleye Pacific opah), 746 nucleotides. RefSeq lists it as uncharacterized. The record is from RefSeq and is a predicted model, not a curated record. NCBI's taxonomy places the organism in Eukaryota, Metazoa, Chordata, Actinopteri, Lampriformes, Lampridae. The transcript has 5 exons.
AGUCAUUAUUGCCCGGGUGGAGGCAGGAGGUCGGAGAAGCCUGUAUCUUCAUCCUCCUCUGUUGAAGAAGAGGAAAACCUGUCCAGGGUGUCUCCCCGCCUGCCGCCCAAUGACUGCUGGGAUAGGCUCCAGCAUCCCCGCGACCCCGAGAGCAGGAUAAGCGGUUUGGAUGAUGGAUGGACGGACGGUUCCACUACCCUGUCAGACUACGACUGUCAAUACUCACGGGCCUGGAGGUGUUCGUGGUGAAUAGCCAUGUACCUGUGUUCGCUGAAGACUGAGUUAUCCAGCACAAUCUUCUCCAGCAACUCAAUGAGCUCAUUAGGCAGGUCUGCAGUCAUGAAGGCCUUGACUGUGACUGACACUUCUUCCGGGUCCUGGGUCUCCGAAAGAGCCGUCUGCACUACCUGAGACAUAAGACUCGUAUCACACAUCAGGGAGACCAGAGGGUUCCUGACCUGGUCAAUGAGCUGUCGUCUGUAGGGGUUGUUCUCCUCCAGGACAUUCGCCCACAGCUCUGGAUCUUUCCGUCGUACCAGGUAGCGAGCUUCACUCUUAAACACUCAUCAGUGGAGAACUGUCCUCUGACCACCAUGAUCAGAUUCUUAAUAACAUCUUCAGAGCAGUCAACAUCCAAAAGACCACCUAUCACCACAGGGAGACGACUGGGGUUCACCUGAGAAUAAAACAAGACAAAGCCAUGAACAAGACUGCAAAUAAAUAAAUAAAAGUAAUUUAACUGAGAA